This 420-nucleotide ribosomal RNA is filed under the name uncultured Glomeraceae. Its description in RNAcentral is "SSU rRNA". It matches the Rfam family "Eukaryotic small subunit ribosomal RNA", at positions 459 to 886 of the family's 1831-position model. The record is from RNAcentral. Lineage: Eukaryota; Fungi; Glomeromycota; Glomeromycetes; Glomerales; Glomeraceae.
GGGAGGUAGUGACAAUAAAUAACAAUACAGGGCUUUCUAGUCUUGUAAUUGGAAUGAGUACAAUUUAAAUCCCUUAACGAGGAACAAUUGGAGGGCAAGUCUGGUGCCAGCAGCCACGGUAAUUCCAGCUCCAAUAGCGUAUAUUAAAGUUGUUGCAGUUAAAAAGCUCGUAGUUGAAUUUCGGGGUCAGUAGGUUGGUCGUGCCACUGGUAUGUACUGGCCUUACUGAUUCCUCCUUCUUGAAGAACUGUGAUGCCAUUUAUUUGGUGUUGCAGGGAAACAGGACUGUUACUUUGAAAAAUUAGAGUGUUUAAAGCAGGCUAACGCUUGAAUACAUUAGCAUGGAAUAAUGAAAUAGGACGUUCGAUCCUAUUUUGUUGGUUUCUAGGAUUGACGUAAUGAUUAAUAGGGAUAGUUGGG